This 497-nucleotide ribosomal RNA is filed under the name uncultured bacterium. RNAcentral's name for it is "partial 16S ribosomal RNA". It matches the Rfam family "Bacterial small subunit ribosomal RNA", at positions 28 to 507 of the family's 1533-position model. The record is from RNAcentral.
GAUGAACGCUGGCGGCGUGCCUAAUACAUGCCAGUCGAGCGAGCGGACGAGAAGCUUGCUUUUCUGAUGUUAGCGGCGGACGGGUGAGUAACACGUGGAUAACCUACCUAUAAGACUGGGAUAACUUCGGGAAACCGGAGCUAAUACCGGAUAAUAUUUUGAACCGCAUGGUUCAAAAGUGAAAGACGGUCUUGCUGUCACUUAUAGAUGGAUCCGCGCUGCAUUAGCUAGUUGGUAAGGUAACGGCUUACCAAGGCAACGAUGCAUAGCCGACCUGAGAGGCUGAUCGGCCACACUGGAACUGAGACACGGUCCAGACUCCUACGGGAGGCAGCAGUAGGGAAUCUUCCGCAAUGGGCGAAAGCCUGACGGAGCAACGCCGCGUGAGUGAUGAAGGUCUUCGGAUCGUAAAACUCUGUUAUUAGGGAAGAACAUAUGUGUAAGUAACUGUGCACAUCUUGACGGUACCUAAUCAGAAAGCCACGGCUAACUACGUG